GCCUCUCGGCUGCUUCCGCCGCCGUUGCGGGGCGGGUUUGCUGUCUGUGCGGCAGCCCGUGGGGGCGGGGGCUGCGGUGCUCCCAUUCCCGGGGCCGCGCGUGGCACUGCGGGGGGGUGAAGGCCCGCCGGGCUGCGGGGCUCCUCCUUCCCCACGGCGCUUUCCAACAGGGACGAAAGCACUGCAGGCCCUCAGCUCCGGCCUCCGUUUGCUCCGCUGCUUUAAGCCCGCUUGGAAACGAGUGGGAAAAGCAGCACCGAGCUCUUAAAAAACCAAACGGAAGCACCUUGCCACGCUUGCGACUUGAAGAAAGAAACUUGGUGUGAUUGCUUUUUAAUCGUAUCGGGUCGUUCCCUUUCAGUCGGCCCUCGCAGAACGACCCCCGGCGCCCACCAGGCAGUGCAGUGCAUGCAGGGCUGCGUACAGAGCUGACAGCGAUGGGAAGCUUUCCUCUGUGCAGACGGCAGCGCCGCUCCCCUGCAGCUCCACCCCGCUCAGCUCCAGCACCGCCGUGGUCAGCUGCUGCUGCUGCUGCUCGCUGAAGGAGGAGAGCAAACCGGCAGCAGCGCCGAGCUCUGCGCUCUGCUCCAGGAUGCUCCUCACCUUUGCAACAACAGGAGAAGCAAAAUCAGCGUUCUGAUGAUCCCCAGCUGGGAGUUGAGGCCCCACGAUCUCUUCUGUCAGCUGUGGGUGUUCUGAGCUACGCACGUUUAUACACCUCUCACCCUUAAUGUGUUUGAUUCCUGCCAGGUUUGGAGCAGUGGCUCAUUUCCCUCUCCCCAGCAUUACCUUGAGCUGUGAUUCGCUGCCCAUCCCAUAAUACGAACGUUGCUUUGCUUGAGCUCCCAUUACCCCCACCCUCUGUUUUGAGCCAAGUGUCAAUGCUGUGUUUUUUCUCACCAGUUUAAGCUGUUGGGGCACAAUCUCCACUUCCAAAGACUCCAGCAAUAGCAGCAGCUGAUCCUCCGUUAGCUCUGCAGAAUUAAAAGAGAUUUGUGCCGCGAAGGCAGCGAAUCACCCCGGGGUGUUUGGAGAGGUGAGAGGGGUGACCGCCCUGCAUGGGGUGCCUGUGUGCCCAGCAGUCCUUUGGGCACUUCAGACUGCAUGAAUUGCACAGCCUCCCUAUGGGAUGAAUGGAGGUGUUGCUCUGUGCCUGCAGCCCUUACCACUGAAGGCAUCCAGAGUGUAGGAGAUGGCUUCUGUGAGGCUGAGGAGAUCACAGCGUGGAGAACCCUUAAGUGUGCUGAGCAGGACUUCUAAGUCUGGGCUCUGUGUUGUCAGCUCACAGUUAUCGGGGUCAUCGAGGACUGCUUCCAUCUGUGAGAGAAAGGGGAGGAACUCUCAGGGUUUAAUUGAAGGUCCUGCAAAGGGUUCUUUGCGAUGCACCCACAGAACCCAUCAAUCUCAGCCAUUCUGGGUGCUGAUGUGGUGAGCUGUGCCACAGCUGUGUGUUGAUAACACAUAACAGUCUUUGUGCUUAGAAACUCUGCUUGCCUUCCCGCUCAGCUCCUCAAGGAGGUUCCUGUCUCUCAUCACAGCUUUGAUGGUCUUCAGAACGAUGGCGUUCAGCUCACCAGCCAGCUGGCACAGAAUGCCACACUUCUCCUUCACUUCUUCCUCCAGAGCUUCCACUUCUGUGUGUGCAAAACCUGCAAGCCAGAAAGUGACCAAAUGUCCCACGUUUAAAUUAGGCAGUCCUGCAGUAAGAUCAGUGCCAGCCCCGUAUUUAGGAUCUGAAACACCUCUGUGAAUGCUGUCAAGGCAGCAGCACGUCGUGGAGACUGUAUUCUGUCCGUCUGUACGAGGGGGACGGCUGGAAUCUGGCUGUCCUCUUCCUUCGAACCAGGCAAAGGAGCCUGAAGUGGUCUUGGUCUGAGAUGCUGUGGACAGGAACCAGCUCUCCUUUGGGAUCCAUUUGCUUUGCUACUUUCUGGGUGACUUUUUUAAACAUCCUGCAGCAGCUGUAGGGAUUCUCGGCCCAAGGGGAGGGGUGCAGUCGUGCCUUAGGAAAGAAGAUGUGCAAAAUGAGCUGGGAUACGAGCAGAAGGUUACAACCAAACAUCUUCCUGUUAGUUUUGGAGGAUAAUAACCCCCUCCCCCCAAAGAAUACAACUUGCAUGGGGUUACUUUCAGAGGGCACAUGGAGAGGCCUUGAUAGCAGCUGUGCCUUGCUAAUUAACCUUAGUCAGGCUCAUCCCCAUUUGUUGUGCAGCUUGCAGGCCUGGGUUAGGCUGAGGGCACAGCUGGCUGUUUGUAAGGGAGCUUUGCUGUUGGAGCCCAUGGCUGCUCUUCCAGCAGGCGUUUUAUCUGCUGCGUAUACCAUCACAUAGCACAGCAACCUGAGCUGGGCAUGGCUAUUUAACCUCUGUACCACCUGCUGGGCUCCUCAGUGCCUUAAUUACCGCGUUGCUCUCACAGAGGCUUAAAGAAAAUACAUCUUGAGCAAUUUCUUGCUGCUCUGUAGCUGUUGCUUUGCAGUGCUUCUGCAUUUCCCCCACGUUGGUGCCCGGCAGAGCUCUGCUGUUUCGAAACAAAGUGUUGGGAAAACGGUUUGGUCGAAGCCUUGAAGGAAGUGAAAGUGGUGGAGGUGAUGGGUUAAGGAAGGAGGGGCGCUCGGUGGGUGCCAGAAUGUUCCCCAGCAUUUUGGGUGUGCUUCUCAUGGAUCUGCACCGACCCCCCCAGACCCCAACAUCCCCACUCCUCUCCCUGCAUCCCUAUGGGGGGAGCUGGAGAUGCAUCCUGCUGGCGGAUCCUCGGCUCUCUAUGCAGAACUCUGGUUCUGCUUAUUGGCCUUUGGUUACACGUCCGUAAAAGCAGGACAAGCUUUGAUUUAUGAGCAGAACAGCUGGCUGUAGUUAAGGAGAAAAAGCUGCUGUGUUAUCCCUUCUGUGCUCUGCUUUAUCGUGUGGUGUUCACAGUGGAUCCCAUUGAACACCAACAGUUUGCUCCCCUCCCUCCCAAAGGAGCACUCUGUCACCUCCUGCCCAGGGAGGUGACCACAUCCACAAACCCCCUCAGUUCCAUUAAGGACACUCAGAUCCAAAGGCAGCCGUAACCAAAGUACAGUGAUUCUCAUUAAAACUGACUUGAAAAGUG
Long non-coding RNA from Gallus gallus (chicken), 3096 nucleotides. RefSeq lists it as uncharacterized. The record is from RefSeq and is a predicted model, not a curated record. The transcript has 2 exons. Lineage: Eukaryota; Metazoa; Chordata; Aves; Galliformes; Phasianidae.